This 729-nucleotide non-coding RNA is filed under the name Aleurocanthus camelliae (camellia spiny whitefly). The record is from RNAcentral. Lineage: Eukaryota; Metazoa; Arthropoda; Insecta; Hemiptera; Aleyrodidae.
UAAGAAUUUUAUUUUAGUUGCCAGUUUAGGUUGUAAUUUUUAUGUAUAUGAGAAUAAUAUUUAAAACUGCGUUUAAUAACAUAAAGUAUUAUUUUAAUUAAAGGAAUUUAAUUGUAAAAAUUAUAAGUGUACUAGCUAACUUGAGUGCCAGCAGCUGCGGUUAGACUCAGAGUAACAAAUUUUUUAUCUACUAUGAUUUUAUAGUCAAUUGAUUAACUAAAAUGUAUUUUAUAAGUAAAAUUUUAAAAUACUUAUUAACUUCAUAUUUAUAAUAAUUAAUAAAACUUUAAACAAACUAGGAUUAGAUACCCUACUAUUAGUCUACAUUUCAGUAAAGUAGUAAAAGUAAAAUCUUCAAACUUAAGAAUUAUGGCGGUAUUUUAAACUAAUUAGAGGAACCUGCUUAGUAAUCGAUAUUCCACGAUUUAAACUACUUUAAGUAAUAUAUUUAUAUAUCGCUGUCAAAUACUAAUCGAAAGAUUCUGUAUAAUAAUAUAAUUUUUUACUUAGAUCAAGUCAACACAUAAUUUUUUAGAGGUUUUAGUGGGUUACACUUAUUUAAAAUUAUUGGAAAGUUAAGCUAAUUUUAACUUCAAACAGGAUUUAAAUUUAAAACCUUUAUAUAAAAGGCUUGAAUAAGUAAUAGAAUAUGUACAAAUUGCCCGUCACUCUUGAGCCAAUCAAGAUAAGUCGUAACAAAGUAAACUUACUGGAAAGUAAAUUUAGUUU